Non-coding RNA from Salmo salar (Atlantic salmon), 5597 nucleotides. The record is from RefSeq and is a predicted model, not a curated record. NCBI's taxonomy places the organism in Eukaryota, Metazoa, Chordata, Actinopteri, Salmoniformes, Salmonidae.
UAUAUAUGAAAAUGUAGGUCGUAACAGAAUUCCGGUGAGAUGUGUAUCCCUACGGAUGACAUUAUGGACACGCCAUGACGUGUUAGAACGUUUGUUGUUGUUUUCUUGACAAUCUUUUCUUUCUUGUUCAUGGAAGACAUAAGUCAAGUUUGUUCAGUAUGGGUUGGAUCAGAAACAGGGAUAUUGAAAGGUGUGAGCCUAUCCAAAAAACAUGCAUUCAACUUCUGUGAGAUGAACUGCCUCAGUCGGGACCAGGAAGUGUGUGUCCUGGGCUGGGGAGAGCCACAGGAGACUGAGGUGGGGACUGUGAAUGGCACAGUGAAGAGGUUCAGCACAGAGAAGGGCAUCAUUACUGAGACCAGACGGUGUGGGGAGAGCAACCAGGGCAGGUUCACAGGACUCGCCGUCACAGACCGUGCUCGGAUCACGUGUGUGGAGACAGGACUGCAGAGGGUCUGGAAGGAGGGCAAUACAGACACAGUGAAUGAACAACUCCUGCACCGUUGAAAUAAAUGUUGGGAAGAAUGUUUGUCGGAUGUGACAGAAUCCCUCGCAGCGCUACCAAGUGCCUACAGGAGGGAAAGAGAACAGCCUUCACCUCCAAGAAUGUGCGUAAUGAUUGGCUGGACCUGCGGGUGCCAGAGUGGGUUAGAGACAUGGCCUUCAUUGCAGACAAGAUAGACACCUGCACAGGUCAACACCAGGUCUGUCUGUCUUGUCUUUCCCUGUACAAGCCCUGUUCUUAGACUGGGUCUGCUGGUCUCCUCAGCCUUGGAGUCUUUCCCUGUACUCAAACGAUACAUUCGGCAGGAGUUUGACGCGUUUUGUUAGAUACGCAACCAGGCCAGCGCAGUACAUUUUGGCACACUGGGUUUGGCUCAGCUCAGUCCAUUUUUGGGGGGUGAAACUGUCCUGUAAAGGGUUCAUUCAUAUUAUACAACGGGUGGUUCUAAUCCUGAAUGUUGAUUGGUUAAAACCGCAUUCCAGCCGGUGUCUAUUCCACAAGUUACCACCGGCUAAAGCUAUGAUGCCUAUUUACUCUGUUCCAUCUGACUGCGCAGUCCACUGUCACAUCAGCCGAGCCAAGCAACUUCUAAACUUGAUCUCCACUAUAAAAAGCAUCUCCUUUUUGAAGUCACUGUGUUAGAAGGGUUGUUGGCUAGCUCCUCUGAACGACAGUGUCCUGAGGAUAGAGCACAUUUUCUAUGCCAGGUGAAAUUGCGCCUCAUUAGCUCAUUGUUAUGGAUGUAUCAAAAUAAAUGUCACUAGAAAACAGCUUAAACAAAUGUAAAUGCAGCUACUGUUGUUAUUCUGGCUUCACUGUUUGACGUGACUGUAAGUUAGCUGUAGUUGGCUAGCUAGCAAGCAAGGCAUAAGAACGUUGCCAGCCAGUAUGGAAAUGGAACAUUUAGAAUGAACGACUGGGUCUCGUCCAUAGAUACAGAACAAAAUGACUGAACGACUGGUUCGACUCUCUAGCAACCGACAGAACGAACGACCAGCCGGCUUGGGUAGCAACCCGGGACUCUGUCUUGUGGAAGGAUAAAAUAGUAUGAAUAAAUUCAUCAAAAUAAUGUUUUUAAUGAAAAUAUGUCAAUCAUAAUUUGAGUAUGUUGGUAACCCAUUGUAUAAAAGUGAUAAUGCCCUCGACUUCAUCUUGAGCUUAACAACACCCGUGCCAAUAUAUCCUCCAAACACCGGCUCCUCGGGCAUUAUCACUUAAUUGGUCAAGUUCAAGUACCCUGAUGUAUGGUUUGUAUCAUUGCUACAUAAGCAAACCAUUAAACAUCUUAACUUGACUCACGUCUCUUUGCCUCAUUCAUCUAUCUAACAACGUAACAAAAGCAACCUAUUUUUUUUACUGAUUUAAUAGUUUUUUUUCCCGCUGUUAGGUGUGAAUGUAUGGUCCAGCCUCUCCCCAGAGGUGUCCUGUUCUAGAGGCAGUUUGGGGAGUACCCCCCCACAGCCCUCUCCCUGCCUGCCAACCAAGACAGUGUUACAGUGGGCAACACACAUGGCCAACUCGCCAUCUUAGGCCUAGUGUGUGGGUGUUUAAAGGGGCUGGCAGGAGAGGUGCGGGGGCUUCAGUCCCACCCUUCUCUCCCUCUGGUGGCUUCUUGUGGUUUGGAUCACUUUCUGAGUGUACACAGCCUGGAGAACCGCUCUCUACAGAACAAGGUGUAUCUGAAGUCACGACUCAACUGUGUGCUUCUGUCCAGCAGAGAUCUCAAGUACAGGAGUGAACGGAGAUGUGGAGGAAGUAAAAGAAGACAGAGGAGAACUGGAUGAGGUGUGGAACACUAUGGGGAUGAUAAAAGAGAUGGUGAAGGAAAGAGCAACAGAAGAAGAGGAAGCUGUUGUUGAAGAAGCAGAGAAGACGACUAAGAAGAGGCAUCAAACACUUAUUUAUUUCUGAAACAUAUUAUACCCUUAUAUUAAACUAAAUAUGGCUGAUACCGCAGUAGACACAACCACCGAGAUUUCAGAAAGGAGCUCAAAGAGAAGAAAGAGGAGGUGGAGGAGAAGGAGAAUGGCAGUCGGGACGCACCAGCCAACAGCAAUGGAACACACACACACAUGGUGCAGAGAAGACCAAUUGUUUAGAUGAUUCUGAAGAAACCCCUGAGGGUGAGAAGGAAGAGGAGGAUGGAGAGGGACUGGAAGCUAAGGAUGCAGAAGAAGCUGUGAUGAGGUUGACCACCCUGUGAAGCACCCAGCUGAUGAGGUUGACCACCCUGUGAAGCACCCAGCUAAUGAGGUUGACCACCCUGUGAAGCACCCAGCUGAUGAGGUUGACCAGCCUGUGAAGCGCCCAGCUGAUGAGGUUGACCAGCCUGUGAAGCGCCCAGCUGAUGAGGAGGUUGACCAGCCUGUGAAGCGCCCAGCUGAUGAGGAGGUUGACCAGCGUGUGAAGCGCCCAGCUGAUGAGGAGGUUGACCAGCCUGUGAAGCGCCCAGCUGAUGAGGAGGUUGACCAGCGUGUGAAGCGCCCAGCUGAUGUGGAGGUUGACCAGCGUGUGAAGCGCCCAGCUGAUGAGGAGGUUGACCAGCCUGUGAAGCGCCCAGCUGAUGAGGGGGUUGACCAGCCUGUGAAGCACCCAGCUGAUGAGGGGGUUGACCACCCUGUGAAGCACCCAGCUGAUGAGGCGGUUGACCACCCUGUGAAGGACCCAGCUGAUGAGGGGGUUGACCACCCUGUGAAGGACCCAGCUGAUGAGGGGGUUGACCACCCUGUGAAGGACCCAGCUGAUGAGGGGGUUGACCACCCUGUGAAGAACCCAGCUGAUGAGGAAGAACAAGUGGAAACAAAAAAAACAGAAAACGGUGAAUCAAAGGAAGCUGAAGUGAAGGCAUAAUGUGCGGAGUAUGUACUCCUCCAACGCUGUCUACAUGACGCGUUUAACUUCACCUUGAAGAGCUUGUGCUUUAUGUAUGCUUUAAAUAAUGGCACCGGAGGGGAUGGCUGCCAUUUUACGGGCUCCUAACCAACUGUGCUGUUUUGUUGUUUGUAACUUAUUUUGUACAUAAUGUUGCUGCUACCGUCUCUUAUGACCGAAAAGAGCUUCUAGACAUCAGAACAGUGAUUACUCACCUCGAACUGGACAAAGAUUUUUUUCUUUAACGAAUCCGACGCAAAGGAUAUACUGCAUUCUCGAGACCAGGCCCAAACCCCGUCAUUUGCGUGAAGAAAAGAUGGAGAAAAAAGGGGUGGAGGUCGGACAUCCUUCUGAGAAUUCGUAGGUGAGUGAGUAAACUUCCACUACCAUCCAUACUAUUGGCCAACGUGCAGUCACUGGAAAAUAAAAUGGAUGAUCUACGAUUAAGAAUAUCCUACCAACGUGACAUUAAAAACUGUACUAUCUUAUGUUUCACCAAGUCGUGGCUGAACGAUGACACGGAUACUAUAGAGCUGGCUGGGUAUUCCAUGCGUCGGCAGGACAGAGAAGCUACAUCUGUUAACUGCUGACCAGCUGAUUCAGAGGCAGACGGCUCUACCCUUCUCCACGUGUUCAGGGUGACUUCUCAGACUCAAUGAAGACCAAAGAUAAGUUUUAAACAGGGCUAAUGAACUAUUGUUAACAUAAAAAAAAAAAAACGAAAUUAAUAAUCCUUUUUGUUUACUGCUGCUGGUAGUUAAUCCUUUGCCAGGCUGAUCUGUUAACACAAUAAAAUGUUUGCUCUACUCCUCCAGGCUAUCUCUAUCGCAAGACACAACCACCACAUCUUAUCUAUGGGAUGCAGGCUCAGUCAGGCCAGAGACAUCUCCCUCUCCUGCACCACUAAUCACAAUGGAAUGUGGCUGUUGGUUUUAUAGCCAUCACUUAAUCAGAUGCCAGGCCAAGCUUUAAAGACUCCUCUCAGUUCACUCAGAAAGGGAGAGAGAGUUCGAAGAACCCUACUCUAUUGCAAAAAAACAACCAUUCGGGUGCAUAAACAGUAUUAUAACAUCAUUUUGGCAUUUUGCUACCAUACACAACAGAUGGCCUCCAUGAUAAAAGACACUUGACCCCAUUUGGGGGGCUGGCUUCUGCAAUGUUAAUUACCCCAUCUUAAAUCUUAAGGCUUUGGUCAUGUUCCGUAUGCAUUUCACACAAGUUUGUUCCAUUUGUACCCAAGAUACUGUUAGUUUUUUUGUUUUUAUUUUAGGUUAUUAAGUUAUGUCUGCGUGACUCAGGAUUGUUAUUUGGUUGCUUCAACCACUGUUUUGUAUAUUCUGGUUCUUGAUGAUUAAAUAAAUCAGUCUUGUCUUAAAAACAAAAAUGUUUCCAAAUGACCAGUAGUGGAGAGCUUAAGGAAGACUGUUCUUUUUAUGAGGAACGCAGAAGGUUUAAGAGGUCUGCCAAAGCCCGUGUUGUGGUUGUGCUGAUUGUUUUCCCGUUGAGUCGGUACUGGAAAUGCAUUAGCCAAAGUUUCCCAUUAAACUAUAACCACUCUGGUGCUGUUUGCAUGACUUAAUGUAGCCAACAUUAAACAUGUACAGAUUGAAAUUUUGGCAACAACUCACACAAAAAAAGAUUGUAUUAAAUGUCCAAUAUCCCAGGGCUAUAACAAUUUCUCAUAUGAACGCUGAACGUGUGUGUGUGUGUGUGUGUGUGUGUGUGAGAGGAAGAAUGCAACGUCCCUAAUAAACAGACAGGUGGCAUCUGGCACCAUUGGUUGGCUUACUUGUGUUUUUGUGUCCUCUGCUGUAAUGGACUAGAGGGUGUACUGAUAAUGAAAAUCACUCAACAUGAUGGGUGUCUUUCAAGUUGUGUACUUAGCAUGGACUUGUUUUCUGAUUUGUGUUUGUCAGUUUGAGUAAAAAAUGUCACUAUGUUCAUUAUUGUGAAUUCAGUAACAGUGGUGUGUUUUGAGGAAAUUGAUGUUUGUAAGCCUAGGGCGGGGCUGGCCCUGGGCAUAAGUGACCGGUUUAGGGCUGCUAGGGGGCACCCGCACCCAAAAAAACAGAAAGGCUGCGGAUCCGACUUAGCUGGACCGUUAUUCCUAAUUUUUUGCGCAUGUGUGGGAUUCUCUACUUACGCAAUCUGUGCUCUACUCAUGGAGAACAGGCUACUCUGGUGAAUGCUGCUCGUCUAAUAAAGUUGGAUCAAAGCUGAA